Molecule: long non-coding RNA, 3067 nt
Organism: Canis lupus familiaris (dog)
Lineage: Eukaryota; Metazoa; Chordata; Mammalia; Carnivora; Canidae
Exons: 3
Source: RefSeq, a predicted model, not a curated record
GGCGCCCGUGUGCCUGAGUACACGCGUACUCGUGCCUGCGCGUGUGUUCGUGCCAAUGUGCAAACAUCUUCUUGUGUGCAUAUGUGUCGUGUGUGCACCUGGGGCACGGAAGGUAUGGGGUGGAAACUGAGGCACCUGCUCUCGAAGGUCCCCCUGGGGAGGGUCCUCCUGCAGGGCGGAGUCCGCCCUCUAAGUCGGGGGGCGGGAGCAGCAGGGUGCAGACUUGGUAACACAAACCCGAAGGCGCCCGCCUGAGCCCAGCUGUAGACUACUCAGGGCCCGACGCUGAGCCCCACUCGGUUUUCUCUCGACUUAUCCUUUGCCUGGUUUUGAAGUUUGUUGGUGGUCGUUGUGUUGUUGUUGAGUUGUAGGAGUUCUUUUUAUGUUCUGGAUAUUAAUCGCUUUCAGACGUAUGAUUGGCAAAUAUUUUUUCCCAUUCUGUAGGUUGUUUUCUUCAUUUUGAGUCUCCUUUGAUGCACAAAGGUUUUUUUCUUUUUUCUUUUAAGAUUUAUGUCUUUGAAAGAGAGAGAGAGAGAGAAAGAGAGCAUGGGGUCAGGGUGAGCAGAGGGACACAGACUGAGGAACUCAAGUAGGACCUCAUCACGCGGAGCCUGAAGCCUGAUGUGGGGCUCAGUCCCCGGACAGAUCGUUACCUGAGCCCAAACCGAGUCAGAUGCUGAACUGAUGGUGUCACCCAGGCGCCCCCAUGCACAAAGGUACCCUGUUAUCACAGUACAUUUGUUGAAAAGGCUGUUCCAUAUCCCAGUUGAAUGGCCGUGGCAUCCUUGCUGAAAAUCCUUCGGCCACGAGCACGGAGGCUUAUUUCGUGGCUCUGCUCCGCGCACUCGGCCCACGCAUCUGUCUUCAUGCCCGUCCAGCACUUCUUUGGUUAUUGCAGCGUUGUAGUAAACUUGAAACCAGCAAAUAUUGUUAGCUGUAUGGUUGGGGUAGCCUUUCCUGUCUUCUUCAUGUCUGCAUCCCCGUCACUAAGAAGCAACCACAUGGUAAGUUUUUUCAAUAAAUUAUCUAGCAUGAGGGAGCUCAAUCAAUGAAUAAAUAAAUGUGUCACAACUUCUUAAUUGGGGAAAUGAAGGACUUACUACAAUUCACUUCUAAGUUCUCGUAGUUUAGAGCACAUACAACAACAUUACACCUUACGUAAGAGAAGAAGGAUUCACAAAGAUUUGUAUAUGAAAAGAAGCACAAAGAUAGAAGUGUUUCCCCUAUGGGAUCUGCUUGCCAUGGGAUAGGAUUGCUGUGGAGGGAGAGACAAAAGCACAGUGGGAAAGGGAUGGGAUUUAUGUAGCCUGGAAGUGUGUGGGAGGGAUGUCAGAAAAAGCUUCAAGCCAAGAGGACAGUCCUGUUGUUCUUAAAAAAUGAGUUGAAAUGCACUGGGUGGAUGGUGAAGGUAGGCAAUUCAAGUUGAUUUAUCUGAGGAACAGGGAACAUAAGAAGCAAAAAGCAUGGGUUGAGCAAACUAACAAAGCUUCAUGUCCUCUGCUUACCGGUUGGGCUGGAUUCUGUAGGUUGAGGCUGUCCUCAAUGGCGUUUAUUAGAGGAUGACUUGCAGUUUGGAGAGAUCAGAUUCCUAGUUGUGUAAAGGAUGAAUGGGGUGAGGCCAGAGUCAGGGAGACCCCCUGCUACCGAAAGCAACCAUCCAGGUGAGAAACCAUAAAGGCCUAAACUUUGCAGAUGGAGUGAAAACAGAGAAGGAGAUGCAGCAGCUCAAAUGCGCUUCCUUUGGCUUAUUUUCCCUCACAGCCAGAACCAAAAUUGGCAUAUGUUUAAAAGAAGAUGUUGAAUUGGCUCAUAUUUCUCCUAUUUAGGCCAAGAUGAACUUUCAGAAGCAAAAAGUCUUGAAUUUAUGUGGAAUCGCUUCUUGGCUGGGAAAGAUACAUUUCUUAUACCUCGAAGGAGAGGAAGGAGAGGUGGCCAUGCCCCAUGCUGUACCGCGUGGUUCAGUUAUUAGAGACCACUGGGUUGGCUGUAUCCUCAUGCCCAGCCCUCCAUUUACAGGGUCACCAGUGUCUUGGCUGCCCCACCUUCCUGUGCUCCUGGGAUUAUCUAAAAGGGAGCACGUCGGGUGUGGAGGGGCUGUGACAUAUCUUGGUUGUGUGGUAUAUGGUUUGUGCUGGCAUAAUUGGAGGCAGGUAGACAUUUAUCAUUUUGGAGGUGAUGAAAUUGAGAAUCCGAGAGAUGGACAACCAUCUCAGGAUUACACAACUAGUAUACAAUGGAGACGAGCUAAGGCUGGCGAUGGAAAACUGGACAGUCCUGAGUCACAGAGUUUCAAAAUCUAAUAUAGGACCAGUUGGCCAUAAAAGGGGGAUGAACUCAUCCUCAGACCCUCCCAUGGACCUGCCUCCUAGUGAUCAAAAUUUAGCUUCUUCUUGGAAAUGUAUAUCAUUACGUUGCAACUUGCAGAAACUUUAAUAAAGUUAUAUUAGUGAAGAGUUUUAUUAAUUUUUAUCUUUAAGAUAUUUUUGAUGGACGUUUUUGAGCAUACUCUAAAGAAAAAGUAAUUGUCCAUCUAAUCCCCACACAGAGCAUUUCAUUACUGAGCUUGGAGAAAUAUCCAUCAGUGACCAGUCUUGUGUCAUUUACCCAUUCCCCAUUUUGAUAGUUUGUUGCUACGCCUCUCAACCAUUUUACACAUCCAUAACCAUGUUAGGCACAAGUAAACAGCAUAAAGAUUGAGUCCAGAUACUCAAGAGUGACUAUCCUUGGGGUUUCAGAUGCCUUUGCCAACCUUUUGGGUGGCUGGAGGGAUCAAUAACUAGGCCUCGCAUCCUCAGAAAACAAAGCACUUAGCACUAAGCUUUGGUAUAAGUCUCCAAGGGUGGGCAGCUGUGCCUUGGGAUGCAGAAGCAGAACAGAAACCACAACAACAACAGAAAAAGAAAAGUAUAUGUAUUAAUGACCAAGGGAAUCUCAGGAAAUAGCUCUGGCUUUAAAAUGGUUUAAAAAUAUUAAAAUGGUUUUAAAAUAAUUUGUUAAAAGGAUUUUAUUUUUAAGUAAUCUUUACACCUAGUGUGGGGCUUGAACUCACAACCUUGAGAUGGAGUCA